GUCUCCAUAGCUCAGUGGUUUAGAGCGGCCGCCUGCAGUACAAUGACUCAUAGCGGCAGGUCACGUGUUCAAAUCACGUUGGGGACU
RNAcentral lists this transfer RNA (87 nucleotides) under Melampsora larici-populina 98AG31. RNAcentral describes it as "tRNA-Cys for anticodon GCA". It matches the Rfam family "tRNA". Rfam says of the family: Transfer RNA (tRNA) molecules are approximately 80 nucleotides in length. Their secondary structure includes four short double-helical elements and three loops (D, anti-codon, and T loops). The record is from Rfam by way of RNAcentral. Lineage: Eukaryota; Fungi; Basidiomycota; Pucciniomycetes; Pucciniales; Melampsoraceae.